GGCAGGUAGCCUAGUGGUUAGAGCAGGUAGUCUAGUGGUUAGAGCAGGUAGUCUAGUGGUUAGAGCAGGUAGUCUAGUGGUUAGAGCAGGUAGUCUAGUGGUUAGAGCAGGUAGUCUAGUGGUUAGAGCAGGUAGCCUAGUGGUUAGAGCAGGUAGUCUAGUGGUUAGAGCAGGUAGCCUAGUGGUUAGAGCAGGUAGUCUAGUGGUUAGAGCAGGUAGUCUAGUGGUUAGAGCAGGUAGCCUAGUGGUUAGAGCAGGUAGCCUAGUGGUUAGAGCAGGUAGUCUAGUGGUUAGAGCAGGUAGUCUAGUGGUUAGAGCAGGUAGUCUAGUGGUUAGAGCAGGUAGUCUAGUGGUUAGAGCAGGUAGUCUAGUGGUUAGAGCAGGUAGUCUAGUGGUUAGAGCAGGUAGUCUAGUGGUUAGAGCAGGUAGUCUAGUGGUUAGAGCAGGUAGUCUAGUGGUUAGAGCAGGUAGUCUAGUGGUUAGAGCAGGUAGUCUAGUGGUUAGAGCAGGUAGUCUAGUGGUUAGAGCAGGUAGUCUAGUGGUUAGAGCAGGUAGUCUAGUGGUUAGAGCAGGUAGUCUAGUGGUUAGAGCAGGUAGUCUAGUGG
This is a long non-coding RNA of Oncorhynchus keta (chum salmon), 605 nucleotides long. RefSeq lists it as uncharacterized. The transcript is spliced from 4 exons. NCBI's taxonomy places the organism in Eukaryota, Metazoa, Chordata, Actinopteri, Salmoniformes, Salmonidae. The record is from RefSeq and is a predicted model, not a curated record.